UCCUGCUGUGACCUCAGAUUGUGACACUCUGGUUGGCUUUGGUAAUCGGGCCAAAAGUACAUGGGGAGAAAUAUGGGAGAGCAGAGCUGCUGGGUACGCUUUCUUCAUUAUGUCAAGGAAAUGUGGUACAGGUUCAAAAAUGCACAAACUGCAGCAGUACCUGCUAAUGAAAAAAAGAGUCAUUGCCAUCAACCGUUACAUCACCAGCCUCUACUGCAACUCCUUACUCCCAAGAUUCACCAGCAUCAGCAGCUGUAGGAGCACCAUCUGUGUCUACUGGCAGAGGACAUGUUCAUGACAACAUGUCCAUCAAAACCUCCGUCUCCAUGAGGGUAAGUGUUCAUUUGAGUUCCCUUUUUGCAUGUCCUCUGAAUUUCUGUGCAUGUGCAUGUAUGAUAUAUUUAGUCUACAAGGUCAUUCAAUUGUGUAUUUGUGAAAUAAGUGUACUAUAAGUAAGUAAUCACUGUAGUCUACA
Long non-coding RNA from Coregonus clupeaformis (lake whitefish), 475 nucleotides. RefSeq lists it as uncharacterized. The transcript is spliced from 3 exons. Lineage: Eukaryota; Metazoa; Chordata; Actinopteri; Salmoniformes; Salmonidae. The record is from RefSeq and is a predicted model, not a curated record.